This 497-nucleotide ribosomal RNA is filed under the name uncultured bacterium. RNAcentral describes it as "partial 16S ribosomal RNA". It matches the Rfam family "Bacterial small subunit ribosomal RNA", at positions 28 to 507 of the family's 1533-position model. The record is from RNAcentral.
GACGAACGCUGGCGGCGUGCCUAAUACAUGCAAGUUGAGCGCUGAAGGUUGGUACUUGUACCAACUGGAUGAGCAGCGAACGGGUGAGUAACGCGUGGGGAAUCUGCCUUUGAGCGGGGGACAACAUUUGGAAACGAAUGCUAAUACCGCAUAAAAACUUUAAACACAAGUUUUAAGUUUGAAAGAUGCAAUUGCAUCACUCAAAGAUGAUCCCGCGUUGUAUUAGCUAGUUGGUGAGGUAAAGGCUCACCAAGGCGAUGAUACAUAGCCGACCUGAGAGGGUGAUCGGCCACAUUGGGACUGAGACACGGCCCAAACUCCUACGGGAGGCAGCAGUAGGGAAUCUUCGGCAAUGGACGAAAGUCUGACCGCGCAACGCCGCGUGAGUGAAGAAGGUUUUCGGAUCGUAAAACUCGGUUGGUAGAGAAGAACGUUGGUGAGAGUGGAAAGCUCAUCAAGUGACGGUAACUACCCAGAAAGGGACGGCUAACUACGUG